Molecule: ribosomal RNA, 301 nt
Filed under: uncultured bacterium
Lineage: Bacteria
Description: partial 16S ribosomal RNA
Rfam family: Bacterial small subunit ribosomal RNA
Source: RNAcentral
CAGUCGCCACGGGAACACGUAGGGUGCGAGCGUUAAUCGGAAUUACUGGGCGUAAAGCGUGCGCAGGCGGUUGUGUAAGACAGGUGUGAAAUCCCCGAGCUUAACCUGGGAACUGCGCUUGUGACUGCACAGCUAGAGUACGGCAGAGGGGGGUGGAAUUCCACGUGUAGCAGUGAAAUGCGUAGAGAUGUGGAGGAACACCGAUGGCGAAGGCAGCCCCCUGGGCCGAUACUGACGCUCAUGCACGAAAGCGUGGGGAGCAAACAGGAUUAGAUACCCCCGUAGUCCCUGUCUCUUAUAC